GCCUAACACAUGCAAGUCGAACGGAGUAAUGACUUCGGUUAUUACUAGUGGCGAACGGGUGAGUAACACGUGAAUAAUCUGCCCUGUACGAUGGGAUAACAGCUGGAAACGGCUGCUAAUACCGUAUAUGACCACGCCGAGGCAUCUCGGAGGGGUGAAAGCGCUUAAGCGGUACAGGAUGAGUUCGCGUCCAAUUAGCUAGUUGGUGAGGUAACGGCCCACCAAGGCGACGAUUGGUAGCCGACCUGAGAGGGUGAUCGGCCACACUGGAACUGAGACACGGUCCAGACUCCUACGGGAGGCAGCAGUGGGGAAUAUUGGGCAAUGGAGGAAACUCUUACCCAGCAAUGCCGCGUGAGUGAUGAAGGUCCUUCGGAUUGUAGAGCUCUGUUUUAGGGGACGAAUGUCACGAUCAGUAAUAUGGGUUGUGAAUGACGGUACCCUAAGAGGAAGCCCCGGCUAACUACGUGCCAGCAGCAGC
RNAcentral lists this ribosomal RNA (481 nucleotides) under uncultured bacterium. RNAcentral's name for it is "bacterial SSU rRNA". It matches the Rfam family "Bacterial small subunit ribosomal RNA", at positions 46 to 518 of the family's 1533-position model. The record is from RNAcentral.